This 492-nucleotide ribosomal RNA is filed under the name uncultured bacterium. RNAcentral describes it as "partial 16S ribosomal RNA". It matches the Rfam family "Bacterial small subunit ribosomal RNA", at positions 29 to 507 of the family's 1533-position model. The record is from RNAcentral.
AGUGAACGCUGGCGGUAUGCCUAACACAUGCAAGUCGAACGGCAGCACAGUAAGAGCUUGCUCUUACGGGUGGCGAGUGGCGGACGGGUGAGGCAUACAUCGGAAUCUACUUUUUCGUGGGGGAUAACGUAGGGAAACUUACGCUAAUACCGCAUACGACCUACGGGUGAAAGCAGGAGAUCUUCGGACCUUGCGCGAUUGAAUGAGCCGAUGUCGGAUUAGCUAGUUGGCGUGGUAAAGGCCCACCAAGGCGACGAUCCGUAGCUGGUCUGAGAGGAUGAUCAGCCACACUGGAACUGAGACACGGUCCAGACUCCUACGGGAGGCAGCAGUGGGGAAUAUUGGACAAUGGGCGAAAGCCUGACCCAGCCAUGCCGCGUGGGUGAAGAAGGCCUUCGGGUUGUAAAGCCCUUUUGUUGGGAAAGAAAAGCAGCAGGUUAAUCCCCCGCUGUUCUGACGGUACCCAAAGAAUAAGCACCGGCUAACUUCGUG